AUAGCGACUUCUAUUUCGAGAUAGACAUAAUAUGUAAUAACAUAACUGAAUUUUUCUGAAUAAUUAGGUAAACCUCAUACACAAAGAAGCGGGUGUGCCUCCAUCAGGAUCACAUCCACAACUGUUCGAAUACAAACAUGUGCAAAUGCAUCCCCUUUUAUGUUUAUGUUUUUUAAAACAAAGUUUUUCAAGUGUGUUUAUUUUUGCAAAAGGGGUUUUAAAGUAUGGAGAAUUAUCCCAUAUCGAUUUCUCAUCCAUAUUUUUUUGGAAAAAAGAAAAAAAAACUCAUUUUCAAGAGUACCUCAUGUCUCUUCCCUAUCUGUUGACAAUUGGCAAAUAGGACGGCAUCGUGCAUAAAAAUGUGUGAAGCUUUUGUCACGAGCAUCUCUCUUCUCGGCGUCGUCUUCUAAAGGUGGA
This 417-nucleotide long non-coding RNA is filed under the name Sorghum bicolor (sorghum). RNAcentral describes it as "long non-coding RNA (SBIC_LNC001630)". The record is from RNAcentral. Lineage: Eukaryota; Viridiplantae; Streptophyta; Magnoliopsida; Poales; Poaceae.